ACGCAACGCGCAGAACCUUACCUGGGCUUGACAUCCCGAUCGCAUCCCAUGGAAACAUGGAGUCAGUUCGGCUGGAUCGGUGACGGGUGCUGCAUGGCUGUCGUCAGCUCGUGUCGUGAGAUGUUGGGUUAAGUCCCGCAACGAGCGCAACCCUUGUCCUUAGUUGCCAGCAUUCAGUUGGGCACUCUAAGGAGACUGCCGGUGUUAAACCGGAGGAAGGUGGGGAUGACGUCAAGUCCUCAUGGCCUUUAUGACCAGGGCUACACACGUACUACAAUGGCCGGUACAAAGGGCAGCGACACAGCGAUGUGAAGCCAAUCCCGAAAAGCCGGUCUCAGUCCGGAUUGGAGUCUGCAACUCGACUCCAUGAAGUUGGAAUCGCUAGUAAUCGCGGAUCAGCACGCCGCGGUGAAUACGUUCCCGGGCCUU
RNAcentral lists this ribosomal RNA (429 nucleotides) under uncultured Desulfuromonas sp. RNAcentral's name for it is "bacterial SSU rRNA". It matches the Rfam family "Bacterial small subunit ribosomal RNA", at positions 954 to 1382 of the family's 1533-position model. The record is from RNAcentral. Lineage: Bacteria; Pseudomonadati; Thermodesulfobacteriota; Desulfuromonadia; Desulfuromonadales; Desulfuromonadaceae.